AACGAACGCUGGCGGCAUGCCUAACACAUGCAAGUCGAACGAUCCCUUCGGGGAUAGUGGCGCACGGGUGCGUAACGCGUGGGAACCUGCCCUUAGGUUCGGAAUAACUCAGAGAAAUUUGAGCUAAUACCGGAUAAUGUCUUCGGACCAAAGAUUUAUCGCCUUUGGUUGGGCCCGCGUUGGAUUAGCUAGUUGGUGGGGUAAAGGCCUACCAAGGCGACGAUCCAUAGCUGGUCUGAGAGGAUGAUCAGCCACACUGGGACUGAGACACGGCCCAGACUCCUACGGGAUGCAGCAGUGGGUAAUAGUGGACCAUCGGCGGAGGCCUGAACCACCAAUGCCGGGUGAGUGAUGAAGGCCUUAGGGAUGUAAAGCUCUUUUACCCGGGAUGAUAAUGACAGUACCGGGAGAAUAAGCCCCGGCUAACUCCGUG
This 433-nucleotide ribosomal RNA is filed under the name uncultured bacterium. RNAcentral's name for it is "partial 16S ribosomal RNA". It matches the Rfam family "Bacterial small subunit ribosomal RNA", at positions 29 to 507 of the family's 1533-position model. The record is from RNAcentral.